AUUGAACGCUGGCGGCAUGCCUUACACAUGCAAGUCGAACGGCAGCACGGGUGCUUGCCCCUGGUGGCGAGUGGCGAACGGGUGAGUAAUACAUCGGAACAUGUCCUGUAGUGGGGGAUAGCCCGGCGAAAGCCGGAUUAAUACCGCAUACGAUCUACGGAUGACAGCGGGGGACCUUCUGGCCUCGCGCUAUAGGGUUGGCCGAUGGCUGAUUAGCUAGUUGGUGGGGUAAAGGCCUACCAAGGCGACGAUCAGUAGCUGGUCUGAGAGGACGACCAGCCACACUGGGACUGAGACACGGCCCAGACUCCUACGGGAGGCAGCAGUGGGGAAUUUUGGACAAUGGGCGAAAGCCUGAUCCAGCAAUGCCGCGUGUGUGAAGAAGGCCUUCGGGUUGUAAAGCACUUUUGUCCGGAAAGAAAUCCUUGGCUCUAAUACAGUCGGGGGAUGACGGUACCGGCAGAAUAAGCACCGGCUAACUACGUG
This 486-nucleotide ribosomal RNA is filed under the name uncultured bacterium. RNAcentral describes it as "partial 16S ribosomal RNA". It matches the Rfam family "Bacterial small subunit ribosomal RNA", at positions 30 to 507 of the family's 1533-position model. The record is from RNAcentral.